CACAUACCAAACUUCUUUGACCUUUGGAGUGUAUCCUUCAUGUAUCGAAUAGCAUAAUUUUUACUUGAAGCAUUAUCAAUUGUAACUGUAAAAACUCUAUUUUCAAUGCCCCACUCUUUCAUGCAUCCAAAUAUAGCAUCAGAAAGCUGAAGACCUCCCUUCGGUGGUGGAAUGUUAAUGAAGCUUAAAACUCUCUUCUGCAACCUCCAAGAAGAAUCAAUCCAAUGGCCAAUGACA
Molecule: long non-coding RNA, 237 nt
Organism: Ipomoea nil (Japanese morning glory)
Lineage: Eukaryota; Viridiplantae; Streptophyta; Magnoliopsida; Solanales; Convolvulaceae
Exons: 3
Source: RefSeq, a predicted model, not a curated record